Molecule: small nuclear RNA, 18 nt
Filed under: Arabidopsis thaliana (thale cress)
Lineage: Eukaryota; Viridiplantae; Streptophyta; Magnoliopsida; Brassicales; Brassicaceae
Description: snRNA_16402
Source: RNAcentral
UUGGACUGGGCAGCCCGG